This 73-nucleotide transfer RNA is filed under the name Danio rerio (zebrafish). RNAcentral's name for it is "tRNA-Tyr (GTA) (tRNA-Tyr-GTA-17-1, tRNA-Tyr-GTA-17-2)". It matches the Rfam family "tRNA". From Rfam's summary of the family: Transfer RNA (tRNA) molecules are approximately 80 nucleotides in length. Their secondary structure includes four short double-helical elements and three loops (D, anti-codon, and T loops). The record is from RNAcentral. Lineage: Eukaryota; Metazoa; Chordata; Actinopteri; Cypriniformes; Danionidae.
CCUUCCAUAGCUCAGUUGGUAGAGCGGAGGACUGUAGAUCCUUAGGUCGCUGGUUCGACUCCGGCUCGAAGGA